AACGCUUCACAAAAGAAGAUAUACGAAUGGCCAAUAAGCACAUGAAAACAUGCUCCAAGUCAUUAGUCAUCAGGGGAAUGCAAACUAAAGUCACAAUGAGAUACUACUACACACCCAUUAGAAUGGCUAAAUUUAAAAGACUAACGAUGACAGGUUUUUUUGACAAGAAUAGGGAGAAACCGGAACCCACAUAUGUUCUUAGUGGGAAUGUACAAUGGUGAACCACUGUGGACAACUGGCAGUUCCUUAAAAGUUAAAUAUACAUCUACCAUAUGACCCAGCAAUUCUACUUUUGGGAUUUACCAAAGAGAAAUGAAAAUGUACAUCCACACAAAGACCUGUACACUAGUGUUCAUAGCAGCUUUGCUCACCAUAGCCAAAAACUGUAAGCAACCAAAAUGUCCAUCAACAGGUGAAUGGAUAAAAUUGAGAUAUAUCCAUACAACAGUGAAAUACUACUCAGCAAUAAAAAAGAACAAACUACUUACACAUGCAACAACAUGGAUGAGUCUCAAAAUCUUUAUACUGAAUGAAAGAAACUAGACACAAGACAGUAUAUACUGUAUGAUCCUACUUAUAUAAAAUUGUAGAGAAUGCAAACUAAUCUGUAGAGACAGAAACUAGACAAGUGGUUGCCUAGGGGCAGGGCCAGAGGGAGAGACAAACUGUAAAGGGGCACAAGGAAACCUUUGGAAGUGAUGGCAAUGUUCUGUAUUUUGAUUGUCAUGGAAGUUUAAUGGAUGUCAGCCUGUCAAAACACAUCAAUUGUAUAUUAUAAAUGGAUGCAGUUUGCUGCACGUAAAUUAUAUCUCAAUAAAUUUGCUAAACAUAUUGGGUAAAAGGAUAGCAGACGCAUGAGGGGAAAAGAUGAAGUCUGCAGAGAGAAGCACAUGAACAAAGGAACAGAAGUAUGAAUGCGUCUAUGCUUUAUCUUGGAAUAGAGUUUACAAAUUCCCUCGAGGCAGCAACCUCGUCUUGCUUUAUAUCUACAGUCCUCUCAGUGCCCAGAAAUAGGGAUGGCAAUGAUGUUUCUGAGUUGCAUGGAGUCUAUUCACUAUAUCCUCAUAGGUAGCUGUUUGAAGAGUGCUAGAUCUACUAUCAGAAGACUGAGUACAAAUCCCAACCCUUCAUUAUCCUUCAAAGACCCACAGGAAGUCAUUUGACCUCUCAAAGCCUAAUCUGCAGAAUGAAAAUCAUAAUAUCCACAUAAUACAGUUGUUGCAAGGGUUAAAAUAAUACAUAUGAAAGUGCCUAAUAAUAUUUUAGUAUGUGCUACAUAUCCACGACAAAUAAUGAGACUGCAAAACAUAUCUGUUGAUUGACAUACCAACUGUAAUUUGGUUAUUCAUAUACUCAAAUCUCUUAUCUGCAUAAGUAUUACCCAUGUCAAAUGAUUUUCUUAAUCAGAGACACGCUUCUGUAUCACUUCCGUCAAUGAAGUGCUCCAGAAAUUAGAGUUGAUUUUAAUAUUAGGUUGGGAAGAAUACAAUUACCAAAGUAAAUUUGUUCCUCAAAAAAUCACAUAAAGCAUUCCAAAGUAGGAGUGACUUGGGGAUUAUGCAUUGUUUCUAGAUUAUCUAUGCCACUGCUCGCUAUUAGUGCAGUCAAUGGAGAGUAAACUAUUGUCUAAACAAAAAGUAAACAAACAAAGGAUAAACAAGUGGUGGGUAAAUGUGGUCCCAGUGUGAAGAUUUCAAGGAGAAGGGGCAAUAAUAGAUACAGCAAGGGCAUCUGACUGAAAAAAAUCAAGACUUGGAGGAGACUCUUUAAUACAGUUGCUUAGAAGAGGAAAUGCGUGUUUAGGAAAAUUGCUAGAAGAUUGUCUUUAAGAGGUACUCAGACACAUUUAGUAAGGGGAACACAGGCAUCCCUUCUCCAAGAAAUAAAAAGGAUAAUAUAAUCAUCUUUCAAAGACUGAUUCAUAUGAAUGUUUGACUGAAAUGACAAAUUAUAGAAGAGAGCAGUUCUAUUUGUUGAGAAAUUCUGCGACUGAAGACUUCAGAUGAGCUUUGGUAUUCCUCCGUGUUCCGCAGUAUACUGAUGAAGAACUCCCUAUGACAUAUGGGGAGAUGUGGGUUGCUCUUCAAUACAUUUUUGUUGGUAAAUAAACUUCUUUCUUUUACUUUUAGGGGUCAGCAAACAACAGCCCCUAAGCCAAAUCCAUCCUGCUGCCUAUUUUAUUGAUUUAUUAAUCCAGAUCCACCCAUUUGUUUACUCCUGUCUAUAGCUGCUUUUUCAUUACAAGAGCAGAGUUGAGUAGGUGCAACAGAAAUCACAUGGCUUGCAAAGCUUACAAUAUUUACUCUCCGGCCCUUUAGAGAAGGAGUUUAACAGCCCCUUUUUCUAGAUAAUACAAAGUUAGAUCUGGACACUGGAAUAUCUGCAUUGAUGUUAUAUCAGGAAUAGGGGAGGUCUGCUUACAAGAAUAGUGAGAACGGCACAUUGGACUUAAAAGAAAAAUAUCCAUGCAAUAAUAUGAAUCAACAACAAAAAUGAACAAAGAAGGAGUCAAAUACGUUUAGCUCUUGGGUCCUCAAACCACCUCAUACCAUACAAUCCUAUUAAAGCUAAAAUCUUUAGGGAGACUGAUUAAAGUGAAACUUGUGAAGAAGAGAGUUAAGUACCUUAUCAGCUGAACCAAAAAUGUCUUGCCAAAUUUCUCUUUCUCUGGCAUAAGAUAAAUUGAAUCAACUGUCCUUUUUACUCACAAGGCAAAAUCAUAUCUUAGUUUGGUAAUGGUUAAUUGUUAAACUAUGCUCAAUGCCAGAUUUUCUUCGGAUGUAAUGAGAUUCACUCAGUUAAGGUGCAGAGGGGGUAAUGUGGUACAGUGCAAAAAGCUCUAGCUUUGGAAGAAACAAACUGGCUAAGCAUCAGAUCUUGGCUCCACCUUUAUGAGUAAAGUGGAAAUAAUAAUUCCUCGGUUAUGGGGUUGCUGCGAGGAUUAAAUGUGGAAUGUAAACACAACCCAAGCACAAAGUAGCCACUCAAAUAAAUGUUAUGACUCCUCUUCUCCAUCAGUGUUCUAGGGCAAUCAUAUUAGUUAAGAUGGUUAUUAUCUCAAAAUCCCAGAGUGAUAUUAACUGCUACUGCUUUCUAGAAAGACCUUUUAAGGUGUUUAUUUGGUAGAAGAGAUUUUCUAGAUUUGGCUUUAAUUUGAAUUUUUACCUAGAUAUAUGAUCUUUGUCUCUUCCUAGAGAAGUAAGUCAUGUUUCCAUACGUUGUGGAAUACCUGCUAUGUUUUCCUAACAACUCUAUAUUCCUUAUGCUGAUUAUGCAAGCAUUUGCAAAAUUAGGUUUUUUUCUUUUUAAGGUAUGUGUUUUUUUGGAGAAGAAUAUUGGCCCUGAGAAAACACCUGUUGGCAAUCUCCCUUUUUUUUCUCCCCAAUGCCCCAGUACAUGGUUGUGUAUCCUAGUUGUAAUUCACUCUAAUUCUUCUAUGUGGGAUGCCACCACAGCAUGGCUUGAUGACCGGUGUGUAGGUCUGCACCCAGGAUCCAAACCAAGCGAACUCCAUGCCACUGAAGCGGAGUAUGUGAACUUAACCCACUCGGCCGUGGGGCUGGCCCCACAAAAUUAAUUUUAAAUCAUUUUUCUUGGGGGGAAAAAAGCUCUCUAGAGGGUUUUUUUUCUCAUGGUGUUACUGGGAUCCUUUUUAAAACUGAAUUCUCUAAUCUUUCCUGAAACCAUUUCACUAAGAUAAAGGAAAAGCUUUUCAAACACUACAAUUCAUUUAGUAGUUUUAUGGAAGAAAUUGUGCAAUGAAUUCAGAAAUAGAAGUUCAGUUUCAGUGUGCCACUUAAGUAGAACCAACUAUGAGGCAAUCUGUGCAUCUCUGUUCUUGUCUCAUUGAGGGGCAGGAUUCCUCUUCUCUCCGUGACUGAAUCCUGAGGCCUGGAGCUGCUUGUGCCAGAAAUGGCAUGAGACUAAGUAGAGAGGAAAUCUUCCAUCCUAAGACUGAUUUUCAGCUUUGCUGGUUAACAUAGCCCCAUUUAUCACCUGACCUUUAAAAUUUGGGACUCUCUUUGCUUUGAUUUGUUCUUCUCUUGUAAGUUACUCCUUUGUACUUGAAACUGAGUCUGCUGCCGCCAAACCCUUCCUGCUAACUUGAACUUCUGGUCCUGUUCCGUCCAGACAGCCCUGGUCUAUUGCUAUCCAUAUCCCAGCAUGGCCCUGGGUUCUAGUCUAACCGUGAAUACAAUGGGAAUUCCGUGCUCUCAGGCAUUCUGCACAGAUCUCCUAAAGACAAAAAGGCCACCAUUGGAGAUACAAACACCAUUCUAAUUUGCAAGCAGAACAGAUUUUCUUAUCGCUGACCUUACUAAAGGUAAUCUAAAUUGUGGUUUUAAUCAAACUAUUUCUGUAUCAGUUUAAAAUAGCCAAUCUAGAAAUUACCAUAAAUUUUAAAUCUUAAAAUUUUUUUCAUUUAGAAUAGUAUGUGGUCUGGAGAAGGAAAAGUAUGGCCACACAUACAUUCUUAGAAGAAGCUGAAAAUAGCGAAGAAAGAGAAGAUUACUACAUACCACCUGACACAUGAAAAGCCCACCUAGAUACAUAUAGGGACUCACAAAUAACACUCAAGAAGCUUAACACAAAACCUGAAGCUGUGAACCAAUCAUGGUAUUUCUUAAUCUUUCAGUAAUAAAAGACAGUUGUGAUCUUCAAAAUGACUCUUUCCUUUUUCCAUGUCACCCAAAGGUUGUGUGUUCAGCUUACUCUUUAGUGCUUGCCUGUCAGAGCAUUGUUCCAUGACUCACUGGGGACAAUGCUCUCCAGCAGCACUGAAAAUGACAGUAUUCCCAUUAGUGGAAUAAGCCACUUUGCUCUGGUUUUAAAGAAUGACCAGCGAAGUGAACAAAAUGGUGUUUGUAUAUGUGUAUAUUUGGGAGAGGGCACCCAAGAUGGCAGUAGAAUAUUUAUCUUUAUCUUUAUAGUUUCAUAUUAAGCUUUUAUUUCAUCAGAUUGAUUACAGGAAAGUCUAUCAUUUCUUCACUUAACAGAAGUGAGACUUUGCUUUCUAUUCCUAAAAUAUGUACUAACUUGUGACCUAAUAAUCUAUACAGUAAAUAGUGCAAUAUCCCCCCCUCCCCUUACCCAGAGGUCAGUAUUUCUUCAACCUCAACUUCCUAGAGCCCAUCCUAGCAAGCAGAAGGGGGCAGAUCACAUGUUUUUGAACAUUCAAAGCAGCAAGCUGGAUGUCUCCACAAAAGAUCUAUGCAACUUAUCUCAUACCAUUUCAUCUUAGAGUCCCACUCAGAACUGUAUAUUGACUCCCUUCACUGACAAUUUGUGAUGAGCUUGGCUAACUGUUUCCCCAGGUCUGAAGAUGUUUUGGAGUAACAAACUACGAGGGAAGUCGAGGAGCUAUUGAGGGGCAGGCACAAGAAGAAUGGAAAAGACAACCACCAAUGGCUGAAUAUUGAAAUGACUAGAAAGCAAAAAGCAAAGAAAGACUUUUGAGAGCAUAGAAUUCAACCAGAGCAGUUCCUCUGGGGUGGCCCUUAGCCAUCAAGUGGGUUAGGUGAAGAAAACUGUUUAAAGAAAUUGAAAAGGCAGAAGUUGUUGUGAGGCUAGCAUAGGAAAACAUUUGUUCUUAUGAAAAUUUACUUAUAUGGAAGAUUUUGUUCCUAGAAAAAAUAGGACAGCUGAAGAAUUGCUAAUAUAAUUGAAGAGGGGCUCAUUAGCACUUUAUCUGGCCAUUUUACACUAUUUUCUCUCUUGCUCUUGCAUGUAGGGUCUACAUACCCAGAGAGGGCAAGCCCAUGUGGCUUUUGCCCAGUGCAUGAAUACGUAGCAUAAGCACAAUCAGGUGCUUAAUGAAUGUCUGCUGCUGAUGAUGAUCAAGAGCUUAAUAACAGGGUCUUCUCUGAAGCCUGAUUAAUGGGGCUUCAAGUUAAUAUCUUUUUCAUUCUCUCUUUGCACUCUUUUUGUGUGCGUGGGUGUAGAGACACUAUAAAUUGAACAUUCAUUGAAAGAAAAAAGUAUAAUAUUCUAUUUAGAAGUAGGUAGAUAGCUUUGUCAGAAUAUUCACUGAUGGUUAAAGAGGAUUUUAUUCCUAUGACUCAUUCUAUGAUUUGGACAUAAUUUAUCUUAGCCAAUCUCUACUUCCAAGAUUUUCAUAACCACAUUUGCUAUUUGCAAGAUUUAAAUGGAUCUGCAAAGUUGAGAGAUCCUUGGUUCAAUCAGAAACCAUAUUUAUUACUUUUGCAAUAAUUCACCUGUGUGCCAGGAAACCAAGAGGUGCUGACAGCUACUGUGAUCCUACGGGUCUGCCGUGCCACAAAGGAGGACAUUUAAGUCUCUACUUGAACAUAGCAUUCCAUGGAAACUCUUCUCUCUAUGCUAACAGAUGAAGACUCUUCAGUCUUAGGCUUUCAUCUAAGAGUUACUCUUGUCUCUCAUCACCAUUAAGCCAAACAUAAAAACAAGAAAACCAGCCUCACCCUAAACAGGGUUCCCUUUACCAAUUUCUUUGCUUCUGUCCACUGAACCAUCAUUCUUCCAGAUUUAAAAUAUGGGAGUUAUCUUUAAUAUGCCCCCCACCUCCCUCCCCAAACUCAUUUUUAGUUACAAAGUCCUAUUGCUCCUCUGUAGAACAUGUGUCUUUUAUCUGUUCCUUCCUCUCCAAUUUCCACUAUUGUCUUGGUCUAAGUUCUGUGCCUGCUCACCUCCUGGAUAACUCCAGCAACUUCUCUACUAGCCUCCCUCUCUCCUAUUUCUUCCCCCUCCAAGCCAUCUGGAGUUCCAUUAGCAGAAUAUUCUGCUUUAAAUUCCACUUUUUUUUGUCUUUCCCUACCCCAAAAUCUUCAUUGGCAACUUAUCUCACCAUUUCAUAUCUAUAAGAUCAUGCACAUGAGAAAACUCCAGAAGCAAUAAAACUUUAUAGAAUUAUUGCUGUUAGCAAUAAUGACUCUUCCUGGAUUUUAGAAUAUGACAUAACAUGAUCCAUCUUCCCAGAAGCAGAACCUGAUUUGAAACUACUGGUCAACAUUCCACCUUCGGCUCUGGUUAGGUCAGGCUCAUCACUGUCAAUGAGCAUGCCCUGCUCUCCCCUCACCACACAUUCCCUCUAGAACGAGUGAAACACAGAGGCUGACUGGUAGGAUAGGUGGGAGUUUUUUAUAUUGUGAAAUGAUCGGACAUACAUGGUUUGUCCAAGAGCUCUGCUCUUGACCCUAUCUUAUUUAUUUUAUUAAAGCCUCGGAUAAAAAUAGAUUAUAUUCUUACCAAAUCUGCAGAUAUUAAAAGUAGGGGAAAAAAUGAAAGCUAUGUCAGACAACAAGAUCAAACUAUAAAGAGAACUCCAAUAGGAGGCCAAAAUGAAGAGCACAAAAUAUGACAGAAAUAAGUUUUGAAUGCUUGGUUCAAAACCGCAACUGAACUGAAUGGGGGAGACCUCACCUCAUAUAAUAAUUAUUCUUAAAUAUUUCCGGGGGAAGAAAUCAGGCUGAGGAUGAGGGUGUGGGGAAUUGAGUGAGGGGGAACAGAUUAUUUAGAAAGGAAACAGAAACGAAGCCAACAGUUUGGCUUCCAGAGUAACCAAAGCACACUUAGGCUGUAUUAACAGAAUUAUGUUGUCUAGAACAAAGAAGAGGCUAAUUACAUGAGAUUCUCCACUGGUUGGAAAGCCUGAAAAUAUUUUCAAUUUUGGUUGCCACAUCAAUUAACAAACAAAUACAUGAAGAAUUGUUAAGGAUGUAGAAAUCACAUAUAGUAUAUAGAUUUCUUCAUGUUUACCUUGAAAGGGGGACAUUAAGAAAGGAUAUAAUGUCUGCACUUUUAAGAACUAUCCUGAAACAGAAGGAGUAGAAUUAUUUCCUGCAGCAAAAGAGGGAAGAACUAGACCCAUUGGUGAAAGUUUGGAGGAGGUACAUUUCGGCUCAAUAGAAAAAAAAAAUUUCUAUCAGUAAAAGGCAUAAAUCAGUGGAAUAUGUCUUCAGCGAUCACUUCUUGUGACUAGACAUGUUCAAGUAUAGACUGAAUGACAUCAUCGCAGGAAUGCUUUUUGGCAUUCUUAGAGCGCAGAGAGUUUGAGCAGAAGGUUCUCCUUUCAUCUCUAAAGUACGAUAUAGCUCCCUACACUUAUAAUACCCUCUCUUCUCCCAUCUUCAUACAAAACUGAUCACAUUUGCUCCCCAUUUAUAGACAUCUCUGCCUUUCUCACUGGCCUGGGAGCUCCUAGAAAGUAGGGAUUCUGUUUUUUAUCUAAAUAUUGCUGGCUUCUAGCACAGUUCCUAAGGAACUAAAGUAUUCAAUAUAUUUCACUAUAUUAUAAAAUUCUACCUGGAAAAAUCCUACCUGCCCUUCAAAGUCCGGCAGGUGUUCCCACUUUUCAUAGGAAGCCUUCCCUGGUCACUCCUGUAACUCUUAUAUCCUGUGCCACACAAUUUGCCACAAUGUAGUUCUCUAUAUUUUUCCGUGUAUAAUGUUGUUUAAGGUAUCCCUUAUCUAUCUCCCUGAGUAGACUGUCAGUUCUCAGUGAACAAAAGAAUGCCAUUUAAAAAUUAUGCCAACUCCUUAUCACUGUGCUCAGCACUGAAUUGAUAAGUGAUAACGUGCUUGCUGAUUGGUUGAAAAGCAAUCUAGAAAAUUUUAACAUUAAAAAAUCAUCUUCCACUUAUUAAUUACAAAGAGAAAAAACUUUAACUUUAUAGUGGAGAAAUGUGGCAGACACUACCUUAACGAAGUGGUCAAAAUUAACAUCACCAGUAAGACAACAUAUUGACAUCAUUGACCCUGAUAUGAGGUCAUCAUCUCUUCUAUAGUAUUCUUGCCAAAAAUGAGUAACCUCAAUCUAAUCAUGAGAAAACAUCACAUGAAUCUAAACUGAGGGCCAAUCUACAAAAUAUCUGACCAGUCGUACUCUUUGGAAGUGUCAGGUUCAUGGUGGACAAUGAAAGACUGAAGAAUUGUCCCUGAUUGAAAGAGAUGAGGAAGCAUGACACUAAAUUCAAUGUGGGAUCCCCGACUGGAUCCUGCACUAGACAAAGGACAUUAAUGGGAAAAGUUGAGAAAUUCUAAUUAGGUCUGUAGAUUAGUUAGUGGUAUCACAACAAUGUUAAUUUCCUGGUUUUGAUAAUUGCACUGUGGUUAUGAAGAUAUUAACAUUAGGGGAAUCUUAUAUUAGAGGAACACUGUACUCUUUUGCAACUUGUCUAUAAGUCUAAAAUUGCUUCAAAAUAAAAAUUUAAAUAAAUCAUAUUUUGGUUUUCAUCGACCAAUUGACAAGAGAACAGUACCUAUGCAAAGUUUAUCACUGCAAAGAAGGAAUGGUCAUUAGUGAUAAAGAACUUGAGUGUGGAUCCAAACAACUAAGACAGCUACCUUUAACCGAAACAAAAAGGUACAGUCAACUCGCAUUCUUUGCAGUAGUUAUGUUCUAUAGAGUUGCUGUGAACACUGAAUUAGUGAAUCCUGAAGAAUUACUCCUAGGGGAAAUAUAGGGUUAGUUUCCUGCAAGCCUCUGGUCAUGUUUUCACCAACCAAAGAUAGUCUUGUUUUAUGUGUGUUUUUGUUUAAAGAGACUUUAUUUAAUAUAUAUUGUUGAUUCAUUAACGUUGAGCUCACGGCCAACAGCACUAAAUUCAUGCCUGAAUGACACCUAUCUAACAUGCAUAUUUUCUCCCUAAGGCACAGGACAGCUUUUUGUGCUUAGGAACACUAGACAGCACUACAACACUAUACCUGGGGGCCUCUUUAAACAGUGAAAUCAUGAACAAAAAGUGCAAAAAUGCGAAAAAUGUGGCACUAAAUAGAUCUUCAAAAUGACACAGUAUGAGAACUUUAAAAAAGCGGCAGAGUGUUGCCCUGUUUGACCUCAGCUGGGAAUGUGUGCAUCUGGUGGCACAAAGUUUUCUCUGCUUUGCGCAUUCUGCAAAUGGCCAUGAAAAUACUACCUUAAUUUGGGUUUACAAAUAAAUAAAUUUUAGUGAGUUUGUGAAUGUGCAAAUAUGGAAUUCAUAAAUAAUGAGGGUUGAUUGCACCUUUAAACACAUCCAAUGAUCGUGAACUUAUAUGCCCUUUCCUUUAGCGAAUAAGAGAAUAAGUAUAAUUUUGUAUUUGAAAUGAUAAAUUGAAUCUUUGAAAUAUUAGAAAGUGACUGAGCAUUCUUAAGUUUAUCAGAACCUGGCAGAAAGAGUGGGGCUUCUUCACUAAGACUUGCCCAAUUUUAGUAUCACAACUUUCUUAGAGAUGGAGAAAGUUCAUGGAAAUUUGUCUCUGAACUUUCAUUCAUCUGGGGACGUUUUAAUUCUAUCACUUAGUUCUAUCUCAGUUUAUGGUCUUCUUCCCCACUCUGUCUACAUGGAGGGCCUUUCUAGUACCCUAGCCUCAUCAAGUCCAGUGAUAUUCGUCUCAUUUCCAUUUUAGUCAUCAGUACAUAUGGCCACAACCUGAACAUCAUCAUUAUCUGGAAGUGCUUCACCUUCAGGAAAUCCUCUCUUAAUUAUCACAUAGCCACUCCUCACUUCUAUUGAAUCUAUUCAAUUUCUAAUUAUGAUAUAGAAACUCCAAAAUUCCUACAUAUCCCCCCAGCUAAUCACUCUCUUCUAGCUGCACUUAAACUUGAUCUCUGUUUAGUCGGUAGCACUGGUGAAGUCAUUCCCAUGAUGCUUUCACUAGCACCCCAAGAUCUGUUAUCUUUUGACCUUUACAUCUUUUCAUUUUCCAAACUAUGAUCUUGGUAAUCACCAUUUGUUUCCUCUGCUUCCACUCCUGGUCUGCCAAGUAUUUCUGCAAAAACACAAAACCAUACUAUUUAAAUCCAAAAUAAGUUAAUUUACUCAAUCAACCUUUAAUGAGUUCUUACCAUUUUUAUUCUUACUUAUCUACUGUUGAAUUCCAAUCACAUGGACAGGAUAUACCAAAUAUUCCCUCCUUUCUACACACAUGGCCAACACUCCAGUUCAUAGUGAUACAUACAUCACCUGAGUCUAUGGUAGUAAGUUCUUAACUAGUCUCCCCACAUCUUGUCCCGUCCACUUUAUAAUUAAUCAUCUUAAAGUAGAUAGUUAAUUAACCUACAUGUUCCCCAUGGCUAACUGACGAAAUUCUAAACACCUUUACAUGGCAUUCCAGUCCCUCUAUGAACUGAUUUCAGAUUACUUGUAAAGCCUUUUCUUCUAUUAAAUCCACUCACAAACUAUGUCAAAGCCCAAAUGGACUAUUUCUGUUCCCAAAUAGAUCCUACUUUUCCCUAAUCAAGUCCCUUAUUUACACUUUUCCCUUUAUCAGGAAUGUUUUGUCCCUAAUCUCUGUCCCUCAAAAUCUUACCAACUCUUCAAGCCCCAGCUCAAAAUACAUCUCUUCCAUGAAAUCUUCCCUGAUUCUAUACUUGGAAAUAUCAUCUUCCUCUGACUCGCCAUAGCACUUUGGGAUUGUAUUUAAUGCACUUGUAUUUCUGAAGAAUUAUUUUGUAAUUAUUUUAUUCUCCUGACUAUAUUUCAAAAUCUUUGAGGGCAGGAAAUAUCACAUCUAUCUUGCAUUCACCACAGCACUUGGCAUAAAUGCUCAGGAAAGUACUAUUUAGUAUCCAAACAAAUGAAUGUGAGAUAGAUACACACACACACACACACACAUAUAUAUAUACCUAACAUGCAUAUGUACAUAAU
RNAcentral lists this long non-coding RNA (11606 nucleotides) under Equus caballus (horse). Its description in RNAcentral is "lncRNA (ENSECAG00000045026.1)". The record is from RNAcentral. Lineage: Eukaryota; Metazoa; Chordata; Mammalia; Perissodactyla; Equidae.